Zalophus californianus (California sea lion) is the source of this 967-nucleotide long non-coding RNA. RefSeq lists it as uncharacterized. The record is from RefSeq and is a predicted model, not a curated record. The transcript has 3 exons. NCBI's taxonomy places the organism in Eukaryota, Metazoa, Chordata, Mammalia, Carnivora, Otariidae.
CUGGUGUCCAAAGGGGAGUGUUGCAGGGGAAGAGCCGAGCUCUGCCGUGUCCUGGCAGAUUGUUUGCCACCCCAAGAUUCCGGGCAGAUCAGUUUCAAGGGGAUGAUAGACAAGGAAGACCCAGAGAAGGCGCUGAGCACGUUGGAAGCAGGCGGGGCCAAGCCUUGGCAGGACCCAGCGGACUUUUCUCUGGGCUGGAGAGGUUACAGAAUUCGGGACUGGACAUCAAGGGUGGCAGAGUUGGCCCUCAAAACUUGCUCACCUGUGGGUCCAGUGAGAAUCAAUGACAUUUUUCUUAAGAGCUGAGCUGAGAGAAAGCCUAGUAAGUUCCAGGAAUACAAACCACGAAAAUGAAACACCAGGCUUAUGUUUCCAGCUGGAUCAAGCUGCUGUCUAAAAGGACCUCAUGCUGACACUGCUCACUUGGCCCUAAAUUCAAGGCCACCUUCUCAGGGGCUGCGGGGGUGAGGAGCCUGGAUGGCCAGAACGAGACAACUCUGACAUAGAACCCACAACCCCGAGAUCAAGACCUGAGCUGAGAUCAAGAAUCAGAUGCCUAACCAACUGAGCCACCCGGGCACCCCUUUAUUUGCUCAUUUUAAAAUUCUCUUCCCACUUGAAUGUGAGCCCCAUGAGAAGAUAGACUUUCUAUAUUCUACCCAUCACUGUAUCCCCAACACCCCAAAUAGAGCCUGGCACACAGUAGGCUUGACAAUAAAGAUUUGUAAGAUGGUUGAACGAGUAAACACCUAACUCCGUGCUGGCCUAGAAAAUGCUUUCACAAAAUGAUUUUCAUUAUCGUGAUUAUGGCCCUUUAUGAAGAAAAAGGACAGAAUUAGUGGGGAAGACCUGAUUCUGGUCCCAAAUGAGACCUGAGUGGAAAAAACCUUAAUCCCUUGGGCAGUUUCACUGUUGGUGUGAGUCAGAAGCUGCUUUUUUGACCAGGAAGCUGUUGUGUCACAUGACC